RNAcentral lists this ribosomal RNA (498 nucleotides) under uncultured Glomeromycotina. RNAcentral's name for it is "partial small subunit ribosomal RNA". It matches the Rfam family "Eukaryotic small subunit ribosomal RNA", at positions 591 to 1092 of the family's 1831-position model. Lineage: Eukaryota; Fungi; Glomeromycota. The record is from RNAcentral.
CCAAUAGCGUAUAUUAAAGUUGUUGCAGUUAAAAAGCUCGUAGUUGAAUUUUAGAUCUGACCAAGCGGUCCGCCAUUGGUGAGUACUGUUUUGUGUCGGGUCUAUCCUUCUGGUGAGCUGGUAUGCCCUUUACUGGGUGUGGCAGGGAACCAGGACCAUUACCUUGAAAAAAUUAGAGUGUUUAAAGCGGGCAUAAGCUUGAAUAGAUUAGCAUGGAAUAAUAGAAUAGGACGUUGUGGUUCUAUUUUGUUGGUUUCUAGGACCACCGUAAUGAUUAAUAGGGAUAGUUGGGGGCAUUAGUAUUCAAUUGUCAGAGGUGAAAUUCUUGGAUUUAUUGAAGACUAACUAUUGCGAAAGCAUUUGCCAAGGAUGUUUUCAUUAAUCAAGAACGAAAGUUAGGGGAUCGAAGACGAUCAGAUACCGUCGUAGUCUUAACCAUAAACUAUGCCGACUAGGAAUCGGGCGACGUUAUUUUUAUGACUCGCUCGGCGCCUUAUG